This 497-nucleotide ribosomal RNA is filed under the name uncultured bacterium. RNAcentral describes it as "partial 16S ribosomal RNA". It matches the Rfam family "Bacterial small subunit ribosomal RNA", at positions 28 to 507 of the family's 1533-position model. The record is from RNAcentral.
GAUGAACGCUGGCGGCGUGCCUAAUACAUGCAAGUCGAGCGAACGGACGAGAAGCUUGCUUCUCUGAUGUUAGCGGCGGACGGGUGAGUAACACGUGGAUAACCUACCUAUAAGACUGGGAUAACUUCGGGAAACCGUAGCUAAUACCGGAUAAUAUUUUGAACCUCAUGGUUCCAAAGUGAAAGACGGUCUUGCUGUCACUUAUAGCUGGAUCCGCGCUGCAUUAGCUAGUUGGUAAGGUAACGGCUUACCAAGGCAACGAUGCAUAGCCGACCUGAGAGGGUGAUCGGCCACACUGGAACUGAGACACGGUCCAGACUCCUACAGGAGGCAGCAGUAGGGAAUCUUCCGCAAUGGGCGAGAGCCUGACGGAGCAACGCCGCGUGAGUGAUGAAGGUCUUCGGAUCGUAAAACUCUGUUAUUAGGGAAGAACAUAUGUGUAAGUAACUGUGCACAUCUUGACGGUACCUAAUCAGAAAGCCACGGCUAACUACGUG